GUCUACGGCCAUACCACUGAGAAAGCACCGGUUCUCGUCCGAUCACCGUAGUUAAGCUCAGUAGGGCACGGUUAGUACUUGGACGGGUGACCGCCUGGGAAUACCGCACUGUUAGUU
Molecule: ribosomal RNA, 117 nt
Filed under: Nematostella vectensis (starlet sea anemone)
Lineage: Eukaryota; Metazoa; Cnidaria; Anthozoa; Actiniaria; Edwardsiidae
Source: RNAcentral